Molecule: long non-coding RNA, 240 nt
Organism: Neofelis nebulosa (Clouded leopard)
Lineage: Eukaryota; Metazoa; Chordata; Mammalia; Carnivora; Felidae
Exons: 2
Source: RefSeq, a predicted model, not a curated record
ACAGGUUGGCAAACAAGAGACAGAGAAGUCAUCGGAGAAAUAAUGGCACCCAGACUACGGAAAGGGCUGUACACAGUCUUUGCCAUCACAAUGAGGUUCAGGGAUAAUCUUUGAUGUUCUAAAUGUGCUGCAAUGGCAAAAUCUUCAACCCUGCUUUCAAGAAUCUGGAGUCCCUGAUGAUCAGGAUUUGGGGAACCGUGUUUGCUUUGGAGAAGACUUUCAGAGCCCCUUGAAUCACAG